CCUACGGGUGGCAGCAGUGGGGAAUAUUGGACAAUGGGCGAAAGCCUGAUCCAGCCAUGCCGCGUGUGUGAAGAAGGCCUUCGGGUUGUAAAGCACUUUCAGUGGGGAAGAAAGCCUUGGGGCUAAUACCCUCGAGGAAGGACAUCACCCACAGAAGAAGCACCGGCUAACUCCGUGCCAGCAGCCGCGGUAAUACGGAGGGUGCGAGCGUUAAUCGGAAUUACUGGGCGUAAAGCGCGCGUAGGCGGUCUGAUAAGCCGGUUGUGAAAGCCCCGGGCUCAACCUGGGAACGGCAUCCGGAACUGUCAGGCUAGAGUGCAGGAGAGGAAGGUAGAAUUCCCGGUGUAGCGGUUAAAUGCGUAGAGAUCGGGAGGAAUACCAGUGGCGAAGGCGGCCUUCUGGACUGACACUGACGCUGAGGUGCGAAAGCGUGGGUAGCAAACAGGAUUAGAUACCCCUGGUAGUC
This 466-nucleotide ribosomal RNA is filed under the name Vreelandella stevensii. Its description in RNAcentral is "partial 16S ribosomal RNA". It matches the Rfam family "Bacterial small subunit ribosomal RNA", at positions 338 to 795 of the family's 1533-position model. The record is from RNAcentral. Lineage: Bacteria; Pseudomonadati; Pseudomonadota; Gammaproteobacteria; Oceanospirillales; Halomonadaceae.